GACGAACGCUGGCGGCGUGCCCAAUACAUGCAAGUUGAGCGCUGAAGGUUGGUACUUGUACCAAUUGGAUGAGCAGCGAACGGGUGAGUAACGCGUGGGGAAUCUGCCUUUGAGCGGGGGACAACAUUUGGAAACGAAUGCUAAUACCGCAUAAAAACUUUAAACACAAGUUUUAAGUUUGAAAGAUGCAAUUGCAUCACUCAAAGAUGAUCCCGCGUUGUAUUAGCUAGUUGGUGAGGUAAAGGCUCACCAAGGCGAUGAUACAUAGCCGACCUGAGAGGGUGAUCAGCCACAUUGGGACUGAGACACGGCCCAAACUCCUACGGGAGGCAGCAGUAGGGAAUCUUCGGCAAUGGACGAAAGUCUGACCGAGCAACGCCGCGUGAGUGAAGAAGGUUUUCGGAUCGUAAAACUCUGUUGGUAGAGAAGAACGUUGGUGAGAGUGGAAAGCUCAUCAAGUGACGGUAACUACCCAGAAAGGGACGGCUAACUACGUG
Molecule: ribosomal RNA, 497 nt
Filed under: uncultured bacterium
Lineage: Bacteria
Description: partial 16S ribosomal RNA
Rfam family: Bacterial small subunit ribosomal RNA
Source: RNAcentral